UUCCGGUUGAUCCUGCCGGACCUGACUGCUAUCGGAUUGAUACUAAGCCAUGCGAGUCUUUGUAGUAAUACAAGGCAGACGGCUCAGUAACGCGUAGUCAACCUACCCUAUGGACGGGAAUAAUCUCGGGAAACUGAGCAUAAUACCCGGCGUACCACCAUUCCUGGAAUGGUUGGUGAUUAAAAUGAUUCGUCGCCAUAGGAUGGGACUGCGACCUAUCAGCUUGUUGGUGAGGUAAUGGCCCACCAAGGCGAUUACAGGUACGGGCUCUGAGAGGAGAAGCCCGGAGAUGGGUACUGAGACAAGGACCCAGGCCCUAUGGGGCGCAGCAGGCGAGAAAACUUUGCAAUGUGCGAAAGCACGACAAGGUUAAUCCGAGUGAUUUCUGCUAAAGAAAUCUUUUGUUAGUCAUAAAACCACUGACGAAUAAGGGGUGGGCAAGUUCUGGUGUCAGCCGCCGCGGUAAAACCAGCACCUCAAGUGGUCAGGAGAAUUAUUGGGCCUAAAGCAUCCGUAGCCGGUUCUCUAAGUUUUUGGUUAAAUCUAUGUGCUUAACGCAUAGGCCGCCGAAAAUACUGAAGAGCUAGGGAGUGGGAGAGGUAGACGGUACUUGAUAGGAAGGGGUAAAAUCUUUUGAUCUAUCGAUGACCACCUGUGGCGAAGGCGGUCUACCAGAACACGUUCGACGGUGAGGGAUGAAAGCUGGGGGAGCAAACCGGAUUAGAUACCCGGGUAGUCCCAGCUGUAAACGAUGCAGACUCGAUGAUGCAUUGGCAUAUAGCCAGUGCAGUGUCGCAGGAAGCCGUUAAGUCUGCCGCCUGGAAGUACGUACGCAAGUAUGAAACUUAAAGGAAUUGGCGGGGGAGCACCACAAGGGGUGAAGCCUGCGAUCAAUUGGAGUCAACGCCGGA
RNAcentral lists this ribosomal RNA (911 nucleotides) under uncultured archaeon. RNAcentral describes it as "bacterial SSU rRNA". It matches the Rfam family "Archaeal small subunit ribosomal RNA", at positions 1 to 922 of the family's 1478-position model. The record is from RNAcentral.